UUAAUCCUACGGGGGGCAGCAGUGGGGGAUAUUGCACAAUGGGGGAAACCCUGAUGCAGCGACGCCGCGUGUGGGAAGACGGUCUUCUGGAUUGUAAACCACUGUCCCCAGGGACGAAAAUGACGGUACCUGGGGAGGAAGCUCCGGCUAACUACGUGCCAGCAGCCGCGGUAAUACGUAGGGAGCAAGCGUUGUCCGGAAUUACUGGGUGUAAAGGGAGCGUAGGUGGGGAUGCACGUUGGGUGUCAAAACUACCGGCUCAACCGAUAGUCGCACUCAAAACUGCAGCUCUUGAGCGAAGUAGG
RNAcentral lists this ribosomal RNA (305 nucleotides) under uncultured bacterium. Its description in RNAcentral is "bacterial SSU rRNA". It matches the Rfam family "Bacterial small subunit ribosomal RNA", at positions 333 to 655 of the family's 1533-position model. The record is from RNAcentral.